This is a non-coding RNA of Eublepharis macularius, 479 nucleotides long. NCBI's taxonomy places the organism in Eukaryota, Metazoa, Chordata, Lepidosauria, Squamata, Eublepharidae. The record is from the annotation of a RefSeq genome assembly.
CACAGGACAUUACAGGCAUUUGAAAUCUAGUCCUUCUUUCCGCCAUGCCGUCCUUGCUGCCAACACUCAUUUUGUUGGCUGUCUCUCCAUGUGUUCUCUCACAGGUGGUUCUGACCCAGUCAGAUCCUGUGGUGAAAAAACCAGGGGAAUCCCAUAAAUUGUCCUGUGCUGUCACAGGAUUUGAUGUUAAUAGCUACUGGAUGAGCUGGAUCCGGCAGAAGCCAGGCAAAGGAUUGGAAUGGAUGGUUAGCUAUUACAGUACUGGUUCUGGAUACAGUUCUUAUUCCCCUGCAAUCCAAGGCCGAUUCACAGCCUCCAAGGACAGCUCCAGUUUCUAUCUGCAAAUGAACGACCUGAAGGUGGAAGACACAGCUGUGUAUUACUGUGCAAGGCAUACAGUGAAAAGGAUCUCAUUAAAGUUCAAGCAAAAACCUUUCCCUGCAUUGACUGUGGUGAGAAGUUAUCAGAGGGGGUGCUAG